RNAcentral lists this ribosomal RNA (633 nucleotides) under uncultured bacterium. RNAcentral describes it as "bacterial SSU rRNA". It matches the Rfam family "Bacterial small subunit ribosomal RNA", at positions 9 to 611 of the family's 1533-position model. The record is from RNAcentral.
GAGUUUGAACCUGGCUCAGGACGAACGCUGGCGGCGUGCCUAAUACAUGCAAGUCGAGCGAGCUGAAUUCAAAGAUCCCUUCGGGGUGAUUUGUUGGACGCUAGCGGCGGAUGGGUGAGUAACACGUGGGCAAUCUGCCCUAAAGACUGGGAUACCACUUGGAAACAGGUGCUAAUACCGGAUAACAACAUGAAUCGCAUGAUUCAAGUUUGAAAGGCGGCGCAAGCUGUCACUUUAGGAUGAGCCCGCGGCGCAUUAGCUAGUUGGUGGGGUAAAGGCCUACCAAGGCAAUGAUGCGUAGCCGAGUUGAGAGACUGAUCGGCCACAUUGGGACUGAGACACGGCCCAAACUCCUACGGGAGGCAGCAGUAGGGAAUCUUCCACAAUGGACGCAAGUCUGAUGGAGCAACGCCGCGUGAGUGAAGAAGGUUUUCGGAUCGUAAAGCUCUGUUGUUGGUGAAGAAGGAUAGAGGCAGUAACUGGUCUUUAUUUGACGGUAAUCAACCAGAAAGUCACGGCUAACUACGUGCCAGCAGCCGCGGUAAUACGUAGGUGGCAAGCGUUGUCCGGAUUUAUUGGGCGUAAAGCGAGCGCAGGCGGAAUGAUAAGUCUGAUGUGAAAGCCCACGGCUCA